CCUUGUGGAAAUUGUGUCUGAGCUCAGAGGCUAAGCAGGGCUGGGCCUGGUUAGUACCUGAAUGGGAGAGCGCUGGGAAUACCAGACGCCACAGGGG
Molecule: ribosomal RNA, 97 nt
Filed under: Periophthalmus magnuspinnatus
Lineage: Eukaryota; Metazoa; Chordata; Actinopteri; Gobiiformes; Gobiidae
Source: RNAcentral